RNAcentral lists this non-coding RNA (139 nucleotides) under Rhodococcus rhodnii. The record is from RNAcentral. Lineage: Bacteria; Bacillati; Actinomycetota; Actinomycetes; Mycobacteriales; Nocardiaceae.
AGAGGGAACCCGGUGGGAAUCCGGGACUGUCCCGCAGCGGUGUACGGGAACGACAGCCGUCACGAAGCACUGGGGUACGCCCCGGGAAGCGACGGCCAGUAGGUGCGGACGACCCGCCUGCCCGUGAGUCCGAAGACCU